AGAGUUUGAUCAUGGCUCAGGAUGAACGCUAGCGGGAGGCUUAAUACAUGCAAGUCGAACGGUAAGGUCCCGACCUAGUCGGGAUACACGAGUGGCGCACGGGUGAGUAACGCGUACACAACCUACCCUUAAGUGGGGAAUAGCCCCGGGAAACUGGGAUUAAUACCCCAUAAUAUUGAUUUGUUUACGGGUGAAUCAAUUAAAGUUCAGGCGCUUAAGGAUGGGUGUGCGUCCUAUUAGCUAGUUGGUGAGGUAACGGCUCACCAAGGCGACGAUAGGUAGGGGGCGUGAGAGCGUGGUCCCCCACACGGGUACUGAGACACGGACCCGACUCCUACGGGAGGCAGCAGUAAGGAAUAUUGGACAAUGGGCGAAAGCCUGAUCCAGCCAUCCCGCGUGCAGGAUGACGGCCCUAUGGGUUGUAAACUGCUUUUGCUUGGGAAGAAACCCUCACUUUUAAGUGGGGCUGACGGUACCUUGCGAAUAAGCACCGGCUAACUCCGUGCCAGCAGCCGCGGUAAUACGGAGGGUGCAAGCGUUAUCCGGAAUCACUGGGUUUAAAGGGUGCGUAGGCGGAUAAAUAAGUCAGAGGUGAAAUCCUACAGCUUAACUGUAGAACUGCCUUUGAUACUGNUUGUCUUGAAUUAGGUUAAGGUCAGCGGAAUGUGNCAUGUAGCGGUGAAAUGCUUAGAUAUGCCAUAGAACACCAAUUGCNAAGGNAGCUGACUAGGCCUUAAUUGACNCUGAGGNACGAAANCNUGGGGAGCGANCAGGAUUANANACCCUGNAGUCCACGCCCUAAACNAUGCUCACUCGAU
RNAcentral lists this ribosomal RNA (818 nucleotides) under uncultured bacterium. RNAcentral describes it as "bacterial SSU rRNA". It matches the Rfam family "Bacterial small subunit ribosomal RNA", at positions 8 to 821 of the family's 1533-position model. The record is from RNAcentral.